CAAGUUCGAACACAAAUUGGAGAGAGAAAAAAAAGAAAAAAAACCAGAAUACAAAAUAGGAAUUAUUUUUUUUCAAUUCACACAAACAAACAAGUCCACCCAAAAAUACAACGAGUCGUACCUUUUCUAUUCAUAUACCUCCUUCUCCUUCUCCUCCUGCUGUUGCAUUCGUAAGUACAGCUUGUGAUGUAUGUGAUCGCACGUACCAAUCAAGAUGAAGAAGAAAAAAAGUGAUCUUCUGUGUACCUAUCUUUUCUCUCUCUUUCUUAAUUCCU
Molecule: non-coding RNA, 275 nt
Filed under: Fragilariopsis kerguelensis
Lineage: Eukaryota; Bacillariophyta; Bacillariophyceae; Bacillariales; Bacillariaceae
Source: RNAcentral